Molecule: ribosomal RNA, 432 nt
Filed under: uncultured bacterium
Lineage: Bacteria
Description: partial 16S ribosomal RNA
Rfam family: Bacterial small subunit ribosomal RNA
Source: RNAcentral
ACGAACGCUGGCGGCAUGCCUAACACAUGCAAGUCGAACGAGACCUUCGGGUCUAGUGGCGCACGGGUGCGUAACGCGUGGGAACCUGCCCUUAGGUUCGGAAUAACUCCCCGAAAGGGGUGCUAAUACCGGAUAAUGUCUUCGAACCAAAGAUUUAUCGCCUUUGGAUGGGCCCGCGUUGGAUUAGCUAGUUGGUAGGGUAAAAGCCUACCAAGGCGACGAUCCAUAGCUGGUCUGAGAGGAUGAUCAGCCACACUGGGACUGAGACACGGCCCAGACUCCUACGGGAAGCAGCAGUGGGGAAUAUUGGACAAUGGGCGAAAGCCUGAUCCAGCAAUGCCGCGUGAGUGAUGAAGGCCUUAGGGUUGUAAAGCUCUUUUACCCGGGAUGAUAAUGACAGUACCGGGAGAAUAAGCUCCGGCUAACUCCGUG